GACGACCUACGGGGCCGUACCGGCCUGUCGCGCCGGAGGUCGCGGGGGUUCGAGUCCCGUCCCUC
RNAcentral lists this transfer RNA (65 nucleotides) under Actinomycetota bacterium. RNAcentral describes it as "tRNA-Asp". Lineage: Bacteria; Bacillati; Actinomycetota. The record is from RNAcentral.